Pelobates cultripes (western spadefoot toad) is the source of this 217-nucleotide non-coding RNA. The record is from the annotation of a GenBank genome assembly. NCBI's taxonomy places the organism in Eukaryota, Metazoa, Chordata, Amphibia, Anura, Pelobatidae.
CAUUAGUGUCCCUUUAAUGAAGUUCGUAACUCUCACAUGCAUUAAAGGAUCACUAUAGUGUCAGGAAAACAAACCAGUUUUCCUGAUACUAUAGCAUUUUUAGGACCCCACCACCAUCAGGAUCCCCCUCGCUUCAGCCACUUACCUUAAUCCAGCACCGCACUCCCUCGGCACUGGUGACCUCUCCUCCCCCUCCGAUGUCAGCUCCCGAGUAGAG